GACAGAGGUCCCAAGCGUUAGGCGGAAUCACUGGGCUUAAAGCGUGUGUAGGCGGAUGUCUAAGUACCUUGUGAAAUCCCGCGGCUCAACCGCGGAACUGCUUGGUAUACUGGAUGUCUUGAGCCAUCUAGGGGCUACUGGAACAAAUGGUGGAGCGGUGAAAUGCGUAGAUAUCAUUUGGAACGCCAAUGGUGAAAACAAGUAGCUGGGGAUGUGCUGACGCUGAGACACGAAAGCCAGGGGAGCAAACGGG
RNAcentral lists this ribosomal RNA (253 nucleotides) under uncultured bacterium. Its description in RNAcentral is "partial 16S ribosomal RNA". It matches the Rfam family "Bacterial small subunit ribosomal RNA", at positions 524 to 776 of the family's 1533-position model. The record is from RNAcentral.